RNAcentral lists this ribosomal RNA (467 nucleotides) under uncultured bacterium. RNAcentral describes it as "partial 16S ribosomal RNA". It matches the Rfam family "Bacterial small subunit ribosomal RNA", at positions 28 to 507 of the family's 1533-position model. The record is from RNAcentral.
GACGAACGCUGGCGGCGUGCUUAACACAUGCAAGUCGAACGGAAAGGCCUAGCUUGCUGGGUACUCGAGUGGCGAACGGGUGAGUAACACGUGGGUGAUCUGCCCCUCACUUUGGGAUAAGCCUGGGAAACUGGGUCUAAUACCGGAUAUUCAUUUUUCCUCGCAUGGGGAUUUGUGGAAAGCUUUUGCGGUUGGGGAUGGGCCCGCGGCCUAUCAGCUUGUUGGUGGGGUAAUGGCCUACCAAGGCGACGACGGGUAGCCGACCUGAGAGGGUGAUCGGCCACACUGGGACUGAGACACGGCCCAGACUCCUACGGGAGGCAGCAGUGGGGAAUAUUGCACAAUGGGCGCAAGCCUGAUGCAGCGACGCCGCGUGAGGGAUGACGGCCUUCGGGUUGUAAACCUCUUUCAGCUCCGACGAAGCGCAAGUGACGGUAGGAGCAGAAGAAGCACCGGCCAACUACGUG